Molecule: ribosomal RNA, 482 nt
Filed under: uncultured bacterium
Lineage: Bacteria
Description: bacterial SSU rRNA
Rfam family: Bacterial small subunit ribosomal RNA
Source: RNAcentral
UCGAACGCUGGCGGCGUGGCUAAGGCAUGCAAGUCGAACGGAAUAGUUGGAUCGUAAGUGAAGACUAUUUAGUGGCGGACGGGUGAGGAAUAGAUAGGUAACGUACCCAGAACUCGGGGAUAACAGCGGACCGCAAGGUCCUUUGCGAAAGUGCUGCUAAAACCCGAUGACACCACCGGAUCGCAUGAUUCGGUGUUCAAAAGUCAGCUGGUUUUGGAUCGGCCUAUCUCCUAUCAGCUAGUUGGUGAGGUAACGGCUCACCAAGGCGACGACGGGUACCAGGCGUGAGAGCGCGGCCUGGCACAUCGGGACUGAGACACUGCCCGGACAUCUACGGAUGGCUGCAGCAACGAAUAUUCCGCAAUGGACGCAAGUCUGACGGAGCGACGCCGCGUGCAGGAUGAAGGCCUUCGGGUUGUAAACUGCUGUUAGGGGUUCGGAAUCAAUUGACCAACCCCAGAGGAAGCAUUGGCUAACUCUGU